Molecule: transfer RNA, 72 nt
Filed under: Elusimicrobiota bacterium
Lineage: Bacteria; Pseudomonadati; Elusimicrobiota
Description: Elusimicrobia bacterium (hot springs metagenome) tRNA-Arg
Rfam family: tRNA
About the family: Transfer RNA (tRNA) molecules are approximately 80 nucleotides in length. Their secondary structure includes four short double-helical elements and three loops (D, anti-codon, and T loops).
Source: RNAcentral
GCCCCUAUAGCUUAACGGACAAAGCGUCCCGCUCCGGACGGGAUGAUGGAGGUUCAAUUCCUCCUAGGGGCA